UGGAUAACCUACCUAUAAGACUGGGAUAACUUCCGGGAAACCCGGAGCUAAUACCGGAUAAUAUUUUGAACCGCAUGGUUCAAAAGUGAAAGACGGUCUUGCUGUCACUUAUAGAUGGAUCCGCGCUGCAUUAGCUAGUUGGUAAGGUAACGGCUUACCAAGGCAACGAUGCAUAGCCGACCUGAGAGGGUGAUCGGCCACACUGGAACUGAGACACGGUCCAGACUCCUACGGGAGGCAGCAGUAGGGAAUCUUCCGCAAUGGGCGAAAGCCUGACGGAGCAACGCCGCGUGAGUGAUGAAGGUCUUCGGAUCGUAAAACUCUGUUAUUAGGGAAGAACAUAUGUGUAAGUAACUGUGCACAUCUUGACGGUACCUAAUCAGAAAGCCACGGCUAACUACGUGCCAGCAGCCGCGGUAAUACGUAGGUGGCAAGCGUUAUCCGGAAUUAUUGGGCGUAAAGCGCGCGUAGGCGGUUUUUUAAGUCUGAUGUGAAAGCCCACGGCUCAACCGUGGAGGGUCAUUGGAAACUGGAAAACUUGAGUGCAGAAGAGGAAAGUGGAAUUCCAUGUGUAGCGGUGAAAUGCGCAGAGAUAUGGAGGAACACCAGUGGCGAAGGCGACUUUCUGGUCUGUAACUGACGCUGAUGUGCGAAAGCGUGGGGAUCAAACAGGAUUAGAUACCCUGGUAGUCCACGCCGUAAACGAUGAGUGCUCAAGUGUUAGGGGGUUUCCGCCCCUUAGUGCUGCAGCUAACGCAUUAAGCACUCCGCCUGGGAGUACAGACC
This 786-nucleotide ribosomal RNA is filed under the name uncultured Staphylococcus sp. RNAcentral describes it as "bacterial SSU rRNA". It matches the Rfam family "Bacterial small subunit ribosomal RNA", at positions 118 to 888 of the family's 1533-position model. Lineage: Bacteria; Bacillati; Bacillota; Bacilli; Caryophanales; Staphylococcaceae. The record is from RNAcentral.